Molecule: ribosomal RNA, 449 nt
Filed under: uncultured bacterium
Lineage: Bacteria
Description: partial 16S ribosomal RNA
Rfam family: Bacterial small subunit ribosomal RNA
Source: RNAcentral
AACGAACGCUGGCGGCAUGCCUAACACAUGCAAGUCGAACGAGAUCUUCGGAUCUAGUGGCGCACGGGUGCGUAACGCGUGGGAAUCUGCCCUUGGGUUCGGAAUAACAGUGAGAAAUUACUGCUAAUACCGGAUGAUGUCUUCGGACCAAAGAUUUAUCGCCCAGGGAUGAGCCCGCGUAGGAUUAGGUAGUUGGCGGGGUAAUGGCCUACCAAGCCGACGAUCCUUAGCUGGUCUGAGAGGAUGAUCAGCCACACUGGGACUGAGACACGGCCCAGACUCCUACGGGAGGCAGCAGUGGGGAAUAUUGGACAAUGGGCGCAAGCCUGAUCCAGCAAUGCCGCGUGAGUGAUGAAGGCCUUAGGGUUGUAAAGCUCUUUUACCAGGGAUGAUAAUGACAGUACCUGGAGAAUAAGCUCCGGCUAACUCCGUGCCAGCCGCCGCGGUAA